CCUACGGGUGGCAGCAGUGAGGAAUAUUGGUCAAUGGACGCGAGUCUGAACCAGCCAAGUAGCGUGAAGGAUGACUGCCCUAUGGGUUGUAAACUUCUUUUAUAUAGGAAUAAAGUUCUGUAUGUGUGCUUUUUUGUAUGUACCAUAUGAAUAAGGAUCGGCUAACUCCGUGCCAGCAGCCGCGGUAAUACGGAGGAUCCGAGCGUUAUCCGGAUUUAUUGGGUUUAAAGGGAGCGUAGUUGGAUGCUUAAGUCAGUUGUGAAAGUUUGCGGCUCAACCGUAAAAUUGCAGUUGAUACUGGCAGUCUUGAGUACAGCUGAGGUAGGCGGAAUUCGUGGUGUAGCGGUGAAAUGCUUAGAUAUCACGAAGAACUCCGAUUGCGAAGGCAGCUUACUGGACUGCCACUGACAUUGAUGCUCGAAAGUGUGGGUAUCAAACAGGAUUAGAUACCCGGGUAGUC
This 460-nucleotide ribosomal RNA is filed under the name uncultured bacterium. RNAcentral describes it as "partial 16S ribosomal RNA". It matches the Rfam family "Bacterial small subunit ribosomal RNA", at positions 338 to 795 of the family's 1533-position model. The record is from RNAcentral.